Toxorhynchites rutilus septentrionalis is the source of this 762-nucleotide long non-coding RNA. RefSeq lists it as uncharacterized. The record is from RefSeq and is a predicted model, not a curated record. Lineage: Eukaryota; Metazoa; Arthropoda; Insecta; Diptera; Culicidae. The transcript is spliced from 3 exons.
ACAAGCGCCUUGAUCCCAAUUAUGUACUUUGGACGUUUCAAAGAUGUCUUCCAGCAGACAUCAUAAGUGUGUAAAUAAACAAAAACAAUGUGAAUGUGUACAUUGGUCACGUCUAAGUUGAUUUGUGCUAUUAUUUUUUGGAAUUAAAUUUAAUUUUUUUACCGUUUCCGCGGUGUCUGAGGAUGCAGUCGAUUUGAUUCAUACCGAAUAAUUGAGCCUAAAGGGCGCUGCUUUCUUAGUUUCCGCUAUAGCUCCUCAUAGUUUUGUUCCGGGAUGCUUUGAGGGAGUUUUCGUUAAUGGCAGUUCAGCAGCUACAGCAGCUCCACAGACGACUGGGAUGAUGCAAACAUUAUGGAUCCACAGGCAGAAAGGCAGUUUAACCACAGUUGCAACCGUCGUUCUGAAAUAUUCAUCGAAUUGUAUGAAGACGAUUAUACGAAUGAUGUCAACGACCCAGACUGGUAAUACAACAAAUUAAAUAAUUUAACAAUCUAUGAAUAUUUUGAAGAAUUCAAAAUAAAUGCUGACACGGAUGCGGAAAAUGCAGAAACAGAGCAGGAUUACGAAGAUAAUGACGAAGAAUCUUAGCAUUACAACGAUUACGAAUAUUGGGUGAUAGACCCAAGAACAGAUGGAGAAUCUCAGCCGAAAACAAUGAAAUCACAGCAGGAAUACGAAGAUGUAGACGACGGAUUUAAGCAUGAUAAUGAAGACGAAGAUGAAGAAACAUAGUUAGAAGAAGAAGAUGGAGAACCUCAGUAA